CGUGUAGGUGGUUAGAUAAGUCAGAUGUGAAAGCUUCCGGCUUAACCGGAAAACUGCAUUUGAAACUGUUUAGCUUGAGUGCGAGAGAGGGUAGCGGAAUUCCCAGUGUAGCGGUGAAAUGCGUAGAUAUUGGGAAGGACACCAGUAGCGAAGGCGGCUACCUGGCUCGCAACUGACGCUAAUGCGCGAAAGCGUGGGGAGCAAACA
Molecule: ribosomal RNA, 207 nt
Filed under: uncultured bacterium
Lineage: Bacteria
Description: partial 16S ribosomal RNA
Rfam family: Bacterial small subunit ribosomal RNA
Source: RNAcentral